This 305-nucleotide ribosomal RNA is filed under the name uncultured bacterium. RNAcentral's name for it is "bacterial SSU rRNA". It matches the Rfam family "Bacterial small subunit ribosomal RNA", at positions 333 to 635 of the family's 1533-position model. The record is from RNAcentral.
CGGGUCCUACGGGACGCAGCAGUGAGGAAUAUUGGUCAAUGGACGAGAGUCUGAACCAGCCAAGUAGCGUGAAGGAUGACUGCCCUAUGGGUUGUAAACUUCUUUUAUAAAGGAAUAAAACGAGGCACGUGUGCCUUUUUGCAUGUACUUUAUGAAUAAGGAUCGGCUAACUCCGUGCCAGCAGCCGCGGUAAUACGGAGGAUCCGAGCGUUAUCCGGAUUUAUUGGGUGUAAAGGGUGCGUAGACGGGAAAUUAAGUUAGUUGUGAAAUCCCUCGGCUCAACUGAGGAACUGCAACUAAAACUG